UGGGAAUAUUGGACAAUGGGCGCAAGCCUGAUCCAGCCACGCCGCGUGAGUGAUGAAGGCCUUCGGGUCGUAAAGCUCUUUCAGAGGGGAAGAAGGGCAACUUGACGGUACCCUCAGAAGAAGCACCGGCUAACUCCGUGCCAGCAGCCGCGGUAAUACGGAGGGUGCAAGCGUUGCUCGGAAUUAUUGGGCGUAAAGCGCGUGUAGGCGGCUAUUUAAGUCUGGUGUGAAAUCCCGAAGCUUAACUUCGGAACUGCGCUGGAUACUGGAUAGCUAGAGGACGAGAGGGGAUGGUGGAAUUCCUGGUGUAGGGGUGAAAUCCGUAGAUAUCAGGAGGAACAUCGGUGGCGAAGGCGACCAUCUGGCUCGUAACUGACGCUGAGACGCGAAAGCGUGGGGAGCAAAC
This 406-nucleotide ribosomal RNA is filed under the name uncultured bacterium. RNAcentral's name for it is "bacterial SSU rRNA". It matches the Rfam family "Bacterial small subunit ribosomal RNA", at positions 356 to 773 of the family's 1533-position model. The record is from RNAcentral.